RNAcentral lists this long non-coding RNA (2980 nucleotides) under Anas platyrhynchos platyrhynchos (common mallard). RNAcentral's name for it is "lncRNA (ENSAPLG00000028924.1)". The record is from RNAcentral. Lineage: Eukaryota; Metazoa; Chordata; Aves; Anseriformes; Anatidae.
AUGGUCAGGACAACUACAGGGUUUCUGACCAUCUUUUCCUCCGCUGCAGCCCUGGAUGCCAGCCCUGAGCCUGCAACAAGACUCACAACUUCAGCCUGGGAGAGAUGCAGCAGCUGCUCUGGUCAGAGAUGGCUCCGGCUCCUCCAGAAACAAGAGCUGCAAGGCUUGGUCGGAGCAAGUGUCCAUCUAACGCGGGGCCAGUCCCUGGCAGUGCUCAUCAGAGGAAGCUACGGAAACCUUGUGGCCAGUUCGGGAAUAUAAAAAAAAAUCAAGGUACCAUCACAAUGGUUGUGGAGAGUCUGCUUUCCUCCUAGUCCUGUGUGCCCCUUGUAUUUGUGUCAGCCCCUGGGCUCAGUAGCCCUUGGAAGCUGGUUUCUCUGCACAGCAGGAACUCAUUUCUUUCACUCCGUUUUGCCACUUUCUAAUUGUAUCGACAAUUCCCAUUGUGCUUGUAUCGUCGUUGUGGCACAAGGAAGGACAAAUAUAUUUCCCUUGACGGUCAUUGCUGCUAGUCCAGAUGUAAGUUCCUCAUACACAAGCUGCGGUAAAAAUAGAUAACUUUGUUUAAAUGAGAAAGGAUACAAGCCUUUCCGGACCCUUGGAUGAGAGAGAGCACAUGGGGGGUUUAACUGAAAAAAUCCCUUACUGCUGCAAGGACACAGCAAGGCGUCUGUGACCUUCCCCUCCUCUCCUCCUGCUGUUCUGCUAGCCUGGGGGAUGUUGUGGCGUGUUGGAAAAAGGUUUGUGGAGGAUGGCAUUGGUGCAGCUGGUGUUCUGGGGCCGUUCCUGAGCUACCUCCACCACCUUGCUGCCUCCCAGAGGAGCUGUGCUCAGCGAUGCCGGCUGUGCUCCCAGGCUCUUCCCCACGGAGAGCUGCCGCUAUGAAUUUUCCAACAGCACAGCCUGUCCCAGUGAUGGGCAGGCACCAGCUUCUGGUUCUCCUUUCCUGCUUUUGAAAUUAACUUUUGCUGUGACUAGAAGUGUGUUGGUAUUCUCUGCCUGCAGCCCCGCAGCAAGAGAUCUCCAGCUCACGCCGUGAUUCCUAAUGAUGCGAGCAGCUUGCGGAGGGGGCGAGGGAUGCGGGGGGAGCGAGCGCGCUUCUGUGUACAACCUGUAGGAAUUUCUUUACAGUUGGGGCCUUUUAUGAGAGAGGAGAGGAGUACAGAGAGAUCUCUCUGUUCCUGUCACAUUUCUGCCACGGGCUUAUUAUUUCUUCUUAGAAAUGGUCCCGUUAAUCAAAUGUUCUGGGAAUGCAUGUCAUCAGUGGUAUCAAAAUCGCUGAUCUUUAUUAAGAAAUGAUGAAAAUUCAUUUUUGCCCACAGUGUGCUAGACCUGACAUCAGGCGACAUUCUCUGCCCGUUUCUAGGCCAACCUGCUUUAAGCAGAAUUACAUAGGAAAAGGGUAAGAGCAGAAUCAGCAUGUGCUGAACAUCCUGAGAGGGGUGAAGCCAAAGUCUGCGGAGGCAAGUGUAGAGCAUGAGGGUCUUAACUCUGCUCACUUGCACUUGAGGUAUCAAGCUACUUUCACUGUCAUCCCUCCCCUUCACCCUGGAAUGAGGGUGUUCAGAAUUAGCCCAGGUCUGUGUUGAAACCUGGGGUUUCCUACUCUGUGUCGUUCCUGCUCUGUGCCAUUCCAGGUGGGUGCUUGCACUUCACUUCCCUAUGGCUAAAUCGCUUCAACUAGUUUUAAUUUACUUGGAUCGAGCAACUAACAGUCACACAAGUGAGGAAUACAAGAAGUUAAGCAACUGAUGGCAAAGGAAAUCAUCCCUUUUCUCUGCACAAGUACACAUAUUUCAAGAUUUUCUGGCAGGAAGAGGCUGCACUGACUGCUGCACCGACCUCCAGCACUCUGCGUACCGCGGUGUCGAAGCCGUGUGCCGACAGCCCAGAAUCACGACCUCGAGAUCCUUCGCCCAGCCCCAGCACCGUUCUCCACCACUUCCCGGUGGCCACAGCAGCCCCCAGGGACCCGCAAGGGUGCGCAGGUGGUGGCCAGGCAGUCGGAGCUCCCUGGAUGAAACGGGCUUCAGAAAUUCAAAGCGUGAUCAUCACCAGCCCUCCCUCGUGUAAAUACUAACAGGGCUUUCAUCUGCCGUGCCGGAGUCGUCAGGCAGUCAGGAGCUAAUACCUGAUUAAACAACACCCAGCACAGAGAGGCUCAUUAUGUGGAAGGGAACGGAGGGAGACCUGUGGUUGUCUCUGCAGUUUGACUGCAUUUUAAAGAACCUGUGGAAGAGGAGGGGCUGGAGAAAGUGUUUUCGUACUUGAAAAAUGAUCAAACUUUGAUAACUUCAAGCCAGCUCGAGCAGUAGACAGGCAGCUCAGACAAACGUAUAAAACAUCAAAAGACGUGGAAUGGCAAGCGGUGCCUGAGAGCUCCAAAUAUAGCUUUCUGCAACAUAAUUCGUUCCUGAAGCAGAAAGGAGAAACUUUCAUAACGCCUUGUGCUACAGCCUUGUUUCUACAUGCGGGGACUGCAGGGACCUGGGCUUCACUCCGUAAGUGGUCAAAUUUGAAAAAGCACUAAUUAAAUGCAUGCAUAAUAUGUUAACGGUAGAAAUGCUCAACAUGAUAAAACAUUGUCGUUUGCUGAAGAAAGAAAAAAAAAAAACAACAAAAAAACACCACAAACAACAAAAUGUGGACUUUGAAAUUACAACACAAAUGCUGUACGUAGAACUGAGCUCCUGAUGUUCCUUGUAUAAGGUGUUUAAUCAUUUUAUUUGCAUUUACAAUUAAAAUCUAAUAGAUUUAUAGUGCUUUCUGAUGAGCAGGGUGCCACCGCUCCUACAAUAGCAGCGUGCAGCAGAGAGAGGCUCCCAGCAGCCACAGACCUUGUAAAACCUCUCCCGAGGCAGGCAGAAGAUGGAGGCCUGGCUCCUAUCUCCACCGAAGCACAUGCUCAGUGGAAUCGGAGUCCUGUUGACCUCAAUUACUUAAAAAAUAAAUAAAUCAGCAGAACUUGAGAACGUGCUCA